CCUACGGGGGGCAGCAGUGGGGGAUAUUGCACAAUGGGGGGACCCCUGAUGCAGCGACGCCGCGUGGGUGAAGAAGCGCCUCGGCGCGUACAGCCCUGUCAGCAGGGAAGAAAAUGACGGUACCUGAAGCAGAAGCCCCGGCUAAAUACGUGACAGCAGCCGCGGUAAUACGGAGGGGGGACGCGGUAUCCGGAUUUACUGGGUGUAAAGGGGGCGCAGACGGCGAUGCAGGCCUGGAGGGAAAGCCCGGGGGCCAACCCCGGGACUGAUCUUGGAACUGCGUGGCUGGAGUGGAGGAGAAGCAGGCGGAAUGCGUGGUGUAGCGGUGAAAUGCGUAGAUAUCAGGAGGAACACCGGUGGCGAAGGCGGCCUGCUGGACUGCAACUGACGUUGAGGCCCGAAAGCGUGGGGAGCAAACAGGAUUAGAUACCCCUGUAGUC
This 440-nucleotide ribosomal RNA is filed under the name uncultured bacterium. Its description in RNAcentral is "partial 16S ribosomal RNA". It matches the Rfam family "Bacterial small subunit ribosomal RNA", at positions 338 to 795 of the family's 1533-position model. The record is from RNAcentral.